This 105-nucleotide small nuclear RNA is filed under the name Moschus moschiferus (Siberian musk deer). The record is from RNAcentral. Lineage: Eukaryota; Metazoa; Chordata; Mammalia; Artiodactyla; Moschidae.
GUGCUCGCUUCGGCAGCACAUAUACCAACAUUAAAAUGAUACAUGAAGGUUAGCAUGGCCCUGCACAAGGAUGACACGCAAAUUCAUGAAGCAAAUUUCUUUAAA